Molecule: ribosomal RNA, 2920 nt
Filed under: Bacillus cereus biovar anthracis str. CI
Lineage: Bacteria; Bacillati; Bacillota; Bacilli; Caryophanales; Bacillaceae
Description: bacterial LSU rRNA
Rfam family: Bacterial large subunit ribosomal RNA
Source: RNAcentral
UUAAGUUAGAAAGGGCGCACGGUGGAUGCCUUGACACUAGGAGUCGAUGAAGGACGGGACUAACGCCGAUAUGCUUCGGGGAGCUGUAAGUAAGCUUUGAUCCGAAGAUUUCCGAAUGGGGAAACCCACCAUACGUAAUGGUAUGGUAUCCUUAUCUGAAUACAUAGGGUAAGGAAGACAGACCCAGGGAACUGAAACAUCUAAGUACCUGGAGGAAGAGAAAGCAAAUGCGAUUUCCUGAGUAGCGGCGAGCGAAACGGAACAUAGCCCAAACCAAGAGGCUUGCCUCUUGGGGUUGUAGGACAUUCUAUACGGAGUUACAAAGGAACGAGGUAGACGAAGCGACCUGGAAAGGUCCGUCGUAGAGGGUAACAACCCCGUAGUCGAAACUUCGUUCUCUCUUGAAUGUAUCCUGAGUACGGCGGAACACGUGAAAUUCCGUCGGAAUCUGGGAGGACCAUCUCCCAAGGCUAAAUACUCCCUAGUGAUCGAUAGUGAACCAGUACCGUGAGGGAAAGGUGAAAAGCACCCCGGAAGGGGAGUGAAAGAGAUCCUGAAACCGUGUGCCUACAAAUAGUCAGAGCCCGUUAACGGGUGAUGGCGUGCCUUUUGUAGAAUGAACCGGCGAGUUACGAUCCCGUGCGAGGUUAAGCUGAAGAGGCGGAGCCGCAGCGAAAGCGAGUCUGAAUAGGGCGUUUAGUACGUGGUCGUAGACCCGAAACCAGGUGAUCUACCCAUGUCCAGGGUGAAGUUCAGGUAACACUGAAUGGAGGCCCGAACCCACGCACGUUGAAAAGUGCGGGGAUGAGGUGUGGGUAGCGGAGAAAUUCCAAUCGAACCUGGAGAUAGCUGGUUCUCCCCGAAAUAGCUUUAGGGCUAGCCUUAAGUGUAAGAGUCUUGGAGGUAGAGCACUGAUUGGACUAGGGGUCCUCAUCGGAUUACCGAAUUCAGUCAAACUCCGAAUGCCAAUGACUUAUCCUUAGGAGUCAGACUGCGAGUGAUAAGAUCCGUAGUCAAAAGGGAAACAGCCCAGACCGCCAGCUAAGGUCCCAAAGUGUGUAUUAAGUGGAAAAGGAUGUGGAGUUGCUUAGACAACUAGGAUGUUGGCUUAGAAGCAGCCACCAUUUAAAGAGUGCGUAAUAGCUCACUAGUCGAGUGACUCUGCGCCGAAAAUGUACCGGGGCUAAAUACACCACCGAAGCUGCGGAUUGAUACCAAUGGUAUCAGUGGUAGGGGAGCGUUCUAAGGACAGUGAAGUCAGACCGGAAGGACUGGUGGAGUGCUUAGAAGUGAGAAUGCCGGUAUGAGUAGCGAAAGACGGGUGAGAAUCCCGUCCACCGAAUGCCUAAGGUUUCCUGAGGAAGGCUCGUCCGCUCAGGGUUAGUCAGGAUCUAAGCCGAGGCCGACAGGCGUAGGCGAUGGACAACAGGUUGAUAUUCCUGUACCACCUCUUUAUCGUUUGAGCAAUGGAGGGACGCAGAAGGAUAGAAGAAGCGUGCGAUUGGUUGUGCACGUCCAAGCAGUUAGGCUGAUAAGUAGGCAAAUCCGCUUAUCGUGAAGGCUGAGCUGUGAUGGGGAAGCUCCUUAUGGAGCGAAGUCUUUGAUUCCCCGCUGCCAAGAAAAGCUUCUAGCGAGAUAAAAGGUGCCUGUACCGCAAACCGACACAGGUAGGCGAGGAGAGAAUCCUAAGGUGUGCGAGAGAACUCUGGUUAAGGAACUCGGCAAAAUGACCCCGUAACUUCGGGAGAAGGGGUGCUUUCUUAACGGAAAGCCGCAGUGAAUAGGCCCAAGCGACUGUUUAGCAAAAACACAGCUCUCUGCGAAGCCGUAAGGCGAAGUAUAGGGGGUGACACCUGCCCGGUGCUGGAAGGUUAAGGAGAGGGGUUAGCGUAAGCGAAGCUCUGAACUGAAGCCCCAGUAAACGGCGGCCGUAACUAUAACGGUCCUAAGGUAGCGAAAUUCCUUGUCGGGUAAGUUCCGACCCGCACGAAAGGUGUAACGAUUUGGGCACUGUCUCAACCAGAGACUCGGUGAAAUUAUAGUACCUGUGAAGAUGCAGGUUACCCGCGACAGGACGGAAAGACCCCGUGGAGCUUUACUGUAGCCUGAUAUUGAAUUUUGGUACAGUUUGUACAGGAUAGGCGGGAGCCUUUGAAACCGGAGCGCUAGCUUCGGUGGAGGCGCUGGUGGGAUACCGCCCUGACUGUAUUGAAAUUCUAACCUACGGGUCUUAUCGACCCGGGAGACAGUGUCAGGUGGGCAGUUUGACUGGGGCGGUCGCCUCCUAAAGUGUAACGGAGGCGCCCAAAGGUUCCCUCAGAAUGGUUGGAAAUCAUUCGUAGAGUGCAAAGGCAUAAGGGAGCUUGACUGCGAGACCUACAAGUCGAGCAGGGACGAAAGUCGGGCUUAGUGAUCCGGUGGUUCCGCAUGGAAGGGCCAUCGCUCAACGGAUAAAAGCUACCCCGGGGAUAACAGGCUUAUCUCCCCCAAGAGUCCACAUCGACGGGGAGGUUUGGCACCUCGAUGUCGGCUCAUCGCAUCCUGGGGCUGUAGUCGGUCCCAAGGGUUGGGCUGUUCGCCCAUUAAAGCGGUACGCGAGCUGGGUUCAGAACGUCGUGAGACAGUUCGGUCCCUAUCCGUCGUGGGCGUAGGAAAUUUGAGAGGAGCUGUCCUUAGUACGAGAGGACCGGGAUGGACGCACCGCUGGUGUACCAGUUGUUCUGCCAAGGGCAUAGCUGGGUAGCUAUGUGCGGAAGGGAUAAGUGCUGAAAGCAUCUAAGCAUGAAGCCCCCCUCAAGAUGAGAUUUCCCAUAGCGUAAGCUAGUAAGAUCCCUGAAAGAUGAUCAGGUUGAUAGGUUCGAGGUGGAAGCAUGGUGACAUGUGGAGCUGACGAAUACUAAUAGAUCGAGGACUUAACCAU